GCCCAAAUACUCUAAUUGUACCAGAUCCUGUUUGAUCUUGGAAGCUAAGCAAGAUAAGUCCUGCUUAGUAUUUGGAUGGGAGGCCACCAUCAAAUACCAGGUGCUAUGGGCU
RNAcentral lists this ribosomal RNA (112 nucleotides) under Anolis carolinensis (green anole). Lineage: Eukaryota; Metazoa; Chordata; Lepidosauria; Squamata; Anolidae. The record is from RNAcentral.